CCCACCCCUUUUACUUCAAAGACACGGACAAUUCAGUUCAACACACAUACACUCAACUCUCUCUUCUCUUUUCUGCUACUUGUGAUUAGCCGGCUGAAACCCAAGGCUAAACAAUAGAACUCUAUUUUCUUGUUCUGAUGUUUGACACUUGCAACUGGUAGGUCUCCACCAUUUAAAUAUUGUUCUCUAAAACUAUAUGUGUAUUUCUCCCUUCUACAUGACCCAUCAACUACAUGUUUUCUGGUACUAAAUGACUAUACACUAGUCUGUUAUACCUUUAUGCAUGUUGUUGUUGUUAUGUUUUCUUAUCUCUCCUUGAUUGUUUGCUUUCAUGUGAUCCCCUUUCCCUUUAAUCCCACUUGUAUGUAAGAUGUCCAAAGUUGAGGUACCAUCUCGUUGCCAUCCUUGAUUUCGGAUCAGGUUCUUUUGAACCUCCACUCAAAUCAAUCCCAUUCCCUUAACCCCUUUUAUGUGUUGAGCCUGGACUAGGGUCUGGUAGUGUCCUAAUCACCACUCAGACCACUGUCUGACUUCUGAAAAUCUGCUCUUUUAUUGUUUUUUGAAUCAAGUAAAAGAUCAGGGGUAUGCCAGUACCACCCAUGACUGGUGACCAUCCUUUGCUUUGGUCUUCUUCAAAUCCUCUCACUUUAUACUUAGUAUUAGUUCUUUAAGUCCUACCCCCUAUGGUAAGCCAUGCUUAGGCACCCUAGAGUUCCCUCUGAACUUUGAUACCUAAGGGCUGGUAAUUCCACACGUUGCACUAUUCUAUUAAUCUUUAGGGUGUUAACAUUGCCUGGGCUUCCUGAAAGCCCUUGGAACUUUGAAAAUAUCUAAGAGAAGGCCUUGGAAUCUGGAUCCCGGAUUCGGUAAAAUACAUGUGUUGGACAUUAAGGCUGUUUUGGGCUUCCUCGGGUCCGUUUUUAGUUUUGACGUAUGUAUUUCCUUUCCAUUUUUUGUAAUAACUUUGUAAAAAGACUUGGGGAAUAUUAGUAAAAGGGUGUGGGAGGGGAUUUACUUUCCUGUAUAGAUCAACAUGCAUGUAGAAAUCCUGCAUAUAGCACUUUGACAUUGCAAAUCACUUAGAAAUCAUGCCUAUAGGACUUUAACAUCGCAAAUCACUUAGAAAUCAUGCCUCUAGGACUUUAACAUUGCAAAUCACUUAGAAACCAUGCAUAUUGGACAUUAAUAUUGCAUACCAUUCAGAAAUCAUGCAUAAAGGAUUUUGUAUUGCAAGCAUAAUAGAUAUCAUUUCUAUAGGAAACUGCACAUACGUUAGGCAAACUGUAG
Molecule: long non-coding RNA, 1287 nt
Filed under: Nicotiana benthamiana
Lineage: Eukaryota; Viridiplantae; Streptophyta; Magnoliopsida; Solanales; Solanaceae
Description: long non-coding RNA (NBEN_LNC039489)
Source: RNAcentral